GACGAACGCUGGCGGCGUGCUUAACACAUGCAAGUCGAACGGAAAGGCCCUGCUUGCAGGGUACUCGAGUGGCGAACGGGUGAGUAACACGUGGGUGAUCUGCCCUGCACUUCGGGAUAAGCCUGGGAAACUGGGUCUAAUACCGGAUAGGAGCCAUUUUUAGUGUGAUGGUUGGAAAGUUUUUUCGGUGUAGGAUGAGCUCGCGGCCUAUCAGCUUGUUGGUGGGGUAAUGGCCUACCAAGGCGGCGACGGGUAGCCGGCCUGAGAGGGUGGACGGCCACAUUGGGACUGAGAGACGGCCCAGACUCCUACGGGAGGCAGCAGUGGGGAAUAUUGCACAAUGGGCGCAAGCCUGAUGCAGCGACGCCGCGUGGGGGAUGACGGACUUCGGGUUGGAAACUCCUUUCGCUAGGGACGAAGCUUUUUGUGACGGUACCUAGAUAAGAAGCACCGGCUAACUACGUG
Molecule: ribosomal RNA, 465 nt
Filed under: uncultured bacterium
Lineage: Bacteria
Description: partial 16S ribosomal RNA
Rfam family: Bacterial small subunit ribosomal RNA
Source: RNAcentral